UACGUAGGGGGCAAGCGUUGUCCGGAAUCAUUGGGCGUAAAGAGCGUGUAGGCGGCUUGGUAAGUCCGCUGUGAAAGUCCAGGGCUCAACCCUGGAAAGCCGGUGGAAACUGUCAAGCUUGAGUCCGGAAGAGGCGAGUGGAAUUCCUGGUGUAGCGGUGAAAUGCGCAGAUAUCAAGGAGGAACACCAAUGGCGAAGGCAGCUCGCUGGGACGGUACUGACGCUGGAGACGCGAAAGCGUGGGGAGCAAACAGG
Molecule: ribosomal RNA, 255 nt
Filed under: uncultured bacterium
Lineage: Bacteria
Description: partial 16S ribosomal RNA
Rfam family: Bacterial small subunit ribosomal RNA
Source: RNAcentral